Molecule: ribosomal RNA, 499 nt
Filed under: uncultured bacterium
Lineage: Bacteria
Description: partial 16S ribosomal RNA
Rfam family: Bacterial small subunit ribosomal RNA
Source: RNAcentral
GAUGAACGCUGGCGGCGUGCCUAAUACAUGCAAGUCGAGCGAACAGACGAGAGUGCUUGCACUCUCUGACGUUAGCGGCGGACGGGUGAGUAACACGUGGGUAACCUACCUAUAAGACUGGGAUAACUUCGGGAAACCGGAGCUAAUACCGGAUAAUAUUUAGCUUCGCAUGAAGCAAUAGUGAAAGACGGUUCUGCUGUCACUUAUAGAUGGACCCGCGGUGUAUUAGCUAGUUGGUGAGGUAACGGCUCACCAAGGCAACGAUACAUAGCCGACCUGAGAGGGUGAUCGGCCACACUGGGACUGAGACACGGCCCAGACUCCUACGGGAGGCAGCAGUAGGGAAUCUUCCGCAAUGGACGAAAGUCUGACGGAGCAAUGCCGCGUGAGUGAAGAAGGUUUUCGGAUCGUAAAACUCUGUUGUAAGGGAAGAACAAGUACGUUAGUAACUGAACGUACCUUGGCGGUACCUUACCAGAAAGCCACGGCUAACUACGUG